This is a non-coding RNA of Oryctolagus cuniculus (rabbit), 372 nucleotides long. NCBI's taxonomy places the organism in Eukaryota, Metazoa, Chordata, Mammalia, Lagomorpha, Leporidae. The record is from RefSeq and is a predicted model, not a curated record.
AGAAUACCCUUAUGUCUCUAGAGUAAUAAAGCAUACGGAGAAGAGCUAACAUUAAGGAAAAUAUUUUUCCCUGUAAAGAAGCAGACUGAAAAUUUGCAAUCUUGCUCAUUUAUCAAGGACAUGGAAUAAAGGUCGUCGGUACAGAGACGGAAUGCCUCACCAGUGAUAAGAACAUGGAUAUUCCCCGUCGGUUUCUGAGUGUUGUGGAGUGUUAGGUGGCAGGCAGCGUGGUAAGCACUGUGUGUAAGCUGUCUCACCUGUGGGUCCCCAGCGCCCGUAGAGGUAGCGACUGUUACUAUUAUUAUUUUAGAAGCACUGAAACCUGAACACAGAGAGGGAGCUAAUUGGCCCCAAGUCACUGGGCAAAGAGAC